UACGGGGGGGGCAAGCGUUGUUCGGAAUUACUGGGCGUAAAGGGCUCGUAGGUGGCCAACUAAGUCGGACGUGAAAUCCCUCGGCUUAACCGGGGAACUGCGUCUGAUACUGGAUGGCUUGAGUUUGGGAGAGGGAUGCGGAAUUCCAGGUGUAGCGGUGAAAUGCGUAGAUAUCUGGAGGAACACCGGUGGCGAAGGCGGCAUCCUGGACCAACACUGACGCUGAGGAGCGAAAGCCAGGGGAGCAAACGGG
This 253-nucleotide ribosomal RNA is filed under the name uncultured bacterium. RNAcentral's name for it is "partial 16S ribosomal RNA". It matches the Rfam family "Bacterial small subunit ribosomal RNA", at positions 524 to 776 of the family's 1533-position model. The record is from RNAcentral.